Non-coding RNA from Drosophila suzukii, 1761 nucleotides. Lineage: Eukaryota; Metazoa; Arthropoda; Insecta; Diptera; Drosophilidae. The record is from RefSeq and is a predicted model, not a curated record.
UCCAGUCCCCCUGCCUUUUGUCUCCGUUUUUUUCCAGGUAACACGAGCAAUUUGCGCUGCAUUAACCAGCAAGAACCCACUGUUUCGCAGUCGCAUUUCCUUAUCAAGAUGCAGGGGCUCUCUGGCCCCCGUGAACCCCCAAAGACCCCAAUUGUGGCUCCCCUUCGACGUGGUUAAAUGUGUUUACACUCAAAGUGCAUUUGUGGGUGAGUUGUGCCACUGGCAACUAGAAUAAUUAAUAACUGGGGAGCAGGGAACACGGGUGCUGUUGAUUUGCAAUUGCAGUUGUUACCUUUGUUCCAUUCUUCUGUGUUGUCUGCACUUUGCGAGGCGUUGAAGUUGGAUUGUUUUGGUCCACUCACCUUGAGUGAGUGAGUGACUUGCACUUCCACUCAACUUCCAGCGCUUGGAACAGAAUGGGAACUGGAACCACGCCAUGUUGUUGCCACAAUUGCCUCGCUCUCACUCACUCACACUCGCAUACAAACAGCGACUUUGUGGGCGGAGCCUAGCUUUUCCCUUUGAGCCCAUGUAACGUUCGACCUUUUUUUAUUAACUUUUUUUGUACCCCAAAAAAAAGUGAAGCCAACAAUUCGUUGUUGCUGUUUAAUUACCCGACAAUUAAGCGGCCGCCACAGUUCUUCAUAAUUCAGACACAAUUAGUAAAUAAUUAACGUUGACAAUUGUCGCACACAAUUGUUAAUCUUCAUCAUCAGCCGCGUUCGGGUGCCAUCGAAAGACGAGGACUGGACACAGAUCAAUCAUAUGGGCAUCUCCGCUGUAAUUGAAACAAAUGCCCAGCUGAACACUGAAAUUAUUUCAUCAACACUAAGACUCUACGAUAAUUAGCGGGAAUAUUGUACCGAACUCAGGAUUACUUGCAACUUAUAUACAUUUUAUUUCUUUAAUAUUUGUUUAUUUUACAAAUCAUACAUUGUUAAAAAGGGCGAUGUAUAUUAUAUAUUUUGUCUGCUGCUGCUCUACAAAAUAAUCGUAAACAAGUCCAAUACACCCUGGCAAUCAAAUUAAUGGGCACAACACUUUAAAGAUCAGGAGCAGCUCUAAAGUUGCGGGAGGCACUCUCCAGAGGGUAAAACACGCACCAACUCGAAUGAGUAAAUUGUGAAUAAUUUCGUGUUGUCUCAUCAAUAUAAAUAAAAUAUUUAUUAACAAUUUGUUAAGAGCUAUAAAUCGCACUCAGCAGCAGCUUUCGGCCGAUGCGAAAGUCAAAAACAGCGAGCCGAAAAACCCGGAGGGAUGGGAGUACCAGGGCUCCCCCAGAGUUUGGGUUCAGACUGAAGACUCUCUCACCAGGACUGGGGAUCUGUGGGGUUCUGUGGGGCUAGUUGGGGAUCUGUUGGGAUAACAGGGGAGCUCUGUGGACCUGUGCCCAUCUGCGGGGGACCUCCUGUGGCGAGGGCGGCGACGGCGGCAGGCUGGGCAUAUUAAUUGUACGCUUGUUCAGCAAGCGGCGAUUGCGACCAGGUCGAAUCCAGUGCCACAGAUCGGCCAGAUCCGUACCAUAUAGGCACCCCCUUCUGGCUCCGCUAUAUCUCGGCUGUUGGUGUCUGGCCAAAUUGCUGCUAUUUAUGUUGGUAACUACCGUAUAAACUUGGCAACAACAACACGGCACACACAUGCACAUUCACCUGGGACUGCACAUGAGACAUCGGUGGAACACGGCAAACGCUGAAAUCAAUAUGUUUGCUAAUAAAUUGUCCCACAAUAUUCAUUAAAUUAAAAAAGUAACGAAAAGUGUUG